RNAcentral lists this non-coding RNA (28 nucleotides) under Mus musculus (house mouse). The record is from RNAcentral. Lineage: Eukaryota; Metazoa; Chordata; Mammalia; Rodentia; Muridae.
UGUCAAUGAAGAAGAAGCUCAGUUCAGC